RNAcentral lists this ribosomal RNA (806 nucleotides) under uncultured bacterium. RNAcentral's name for it is "bacterial SSU rRNA". It matches the Rfam family "Bacterial small subunit ribosomal RNA", at positions 8 to 796 of the family's 1533-position model. The record is from RNAcentral.
AGAGUUUGAUCAUGGCUCAGAAUCAACGCUGGCGGCGCGCUUAACACAUGCAAGUCGCACGAGAAAGUGGAGCAUCCAUGAGUAAAGUGGCGUACGGGUGAGUAACACGUGGGUGACCUACCUUCGAAUGGGGGAUAACGUCCCGAAAGGGACGCUAAUACCGCAUAACAUCCUGCUCUUGAACGAGUGGAGAUCAAAGCCGGGGAUCGCAAGACCUGGCGUUUGAAGAGGGGCCCGCGUCUGAUUAGCUAGUUGGUGAGGUAACGGCCCACCAAGGCGACGAUCAGUAUCCGGCCUGAGAGGGCGGACGGACACACUGGGACUGAGACACGGCCCAGACUCCUACGGGAGGCAGCAGUGGGGAAUUGUUCACAAUGGGCGCAAGCCUGAUGACGCAACGCCGCGUGGAGGAUGAAGGUCUUCGGAUUGUAAACUCCUGUUGCCCGGGACGAAAAGCUUCGACCUAACACGUCGAGGUCUGACGGUACCGGGUGAGGAAGCCCCGGCUAACUCUGUGCCAGCAGCCGCGGUAAUACAGAGGGGGCAAGCGUUGUUCGGAAUUACUGGGCGUAAAGGGCGCGUAGGCGGCCUUCUAAGUCGAACGUGAAAUCCCCGGGCUCAACCCGGGAACUGCGUCCGAUACUGGAAGGCUUGAAUCCGGGAGAGGGAUGCGGAAUUCCAGGUGUAGCGGUGAAAUGCGUAGAUAUCUGGAGGAACACCGGUGGCGAAGGCGGCAUCCUGGACCGGCAUUGACGCUGAGGCGCGAAAGCCAGGGGAGCAAACGGGAUUAGAUACCCUAGUAGUCC